UACGUAGGGGGCUAGCGUUGUCCGGAAUCAUUGGGCGUAAAGCGCGUGUAGGCGGUCCGGUAAGUCCGCUGUGAAAGUCGGGGGCUCAACCCUCGAACGCCGGUGGAUACUGUCGGGCUCGAGUGCGGAAGAGGCGAGUGGAAUUCCUGGUGUAGCGGUGAAAUGCGCAGAUAUCAGGAGGAACACCGAUUGCGAAGGCAGCUCGCUGGGACGUUACUGACGCUGAGACGCGAAAGCGUGGGGAGCAAACAGG
RNAcentral lists this ribosomal RNA (253 nucleotides) under uncultured bacterium. RNAcentral describes it as "partial 16S ribosomal RNA". It matches the Rfam family "Bacterial small subunit ribosomal RNA", at positions 524 to 776 of the family's 1533-position model. The record is from RNAcentral.